UACAUGGGGUGCAAACGUUGCUCGGAAUUAUUGGGCGUAAAGCGCGCGUAGGCGGUUACUUAAGUCGGAUGUGAAAGCCCUCGGCUUAACUGAGGAAGUGCACCCGAAACUGAGUAGCUAGAGUACGAAAGAGGGUCGCGGAAUUCCCGGUGUAGAGGUGAAAUUCGUAGAUAUCGGGAGGAACACCGGUGGCGAAGGCGGCGACCUGGGUCGAGACUGACGCUGAGGCGCGAAAGCGUGGGGAGCAAACAAG
This 253-nucleotide ribosomal RNA is filed under the name uncultured bacterium. RNAcentral describes it as "partial 16S ribosomal RNA". It matches the Rfam family "Bacterial small subunit ribosomal RNA", at positions 524 to 776 of the family's 1533-position model. The record is from RNAcentral.